RNAcentral lists this ribosomal RNA (301 nucleotides) under uncultured bacterium. RNAcentral's name for it is "partial 16S ribosomal RNA". It matches the Rfam family "Bacterial small subunit ribosomal RNA", at positions 509 to 807 of the family's 1533-position model. The record is from RNAcentral.
CAGCAGCCGCGGUAAUACGAAGGGGGCUAGCGUUGUUCGGAUUUACUGGGCGUAAAGGGUGCGUAGGCGGACUGAUAAGUCAGGGGUGAAAUCCCAAGGCUCAACCUUGGAACUGCCUUUGAUACUGUUAGUCUUGAGUUCGAGAGAGGUGAGUGGAACUGCGAGUGUAGAGGUGAAAUUCGUAGAUAUUCGCAAGAACACCAGUGGCGAAGGCGGCUCACUGGCUCGAAACUGACGCUGAGGCACGAAAGCGUGGGGAGCAAACAGGAUUAGAUACCCCGGUAGUCCCUGUCUCUUAUAC